This is a long non-coding RNA of Copidosoma floridanum, 250 nucleotides long. The record is from RefSeq and is a predicted model, not a curated record. NCBI's taxonomy places the organism in Eukaryota, Metazoa, Arthropoda, Insecta, Hymenoptera, Encyrtidae.
GUCGAGUCGUGCUCCUCUCCCCGGUUCGGUUAAACACAGCACUGCAUAAUAUUAUAAUAUUUAUCCGUACCCAUACAUAUACACGUAUAUACAUUACCAUGAAGUCUCUGAUGUAAGACGGUGCCGUGCACCCUCGACAUCGAGGAGGGGCAUCCGAAUCGCAGCAGCUCAUCACACCAGGAACAUUGGAAAACGAGGAGACAGGCCGCGGUCCACGACAUGACGACCAAUCCAUCGGCUUCCGGGAUCG